GAGAAAGGAUGACUCAUGGAUACUGAAAUCAUUGAAGACUUGAAUAAUCCAACUCUGAUCUCAUCUUAGUG
Megalops cyprinoides (Indo-Pacific tarpon) is the source of this 71-nucleotide small nucleolar RNA. RefSeq annotates it as small nucleolar RNA SNORD19. The transcript has a single exon. The record is from RefSeq and is a predicted model, not a curated record. NCBI's taxonomy places the organism in Eukaryota, Metazoa, Chordata, Actinopteri, Elopiformes, Megalopidae.